This is a non-coding RNA of Rattus norvegicus (Norway rat), 596 nucleotides long. Lineage: Eukaryota; Metazoa; Chordata; Mammalia; Rodentia; Muridae. The record is from RefSeq and is a predicted model, not a curated record.
GGAGCCUGCAGUGUUUCCCAGGCUACUUUGGGCACUGCCACAUGGGAAACUCUUCUCUACACAUGGUGCUUGAGAAGAAAUUAGCACUCCGUAGACACAGAAAGACUUGGGGAGAAAGGUUCUGAUGCCUGAAAACAAAGGUUUCUAGGUCCAGAUUCCCUUGGAAGCAAACUCUGAAGGACUCCGAGCAGAAUCAAGUCAUUCUACGUUCCUCACAAAGAUGGCUCCCUCAGGUAGCAAGCAAUUACUGGAAGUUUUUCAAAUAUGAAGGACCAUGGAAUCUAUUCAAAGCAAUCAGGACGAAAAAUCCUGCUCUCCAGGCCCAAGACCAAACAGUGGGGCAGUAAUCACUGUAUUUCCUCCCGGUCACUCAGUGGGUGCCUGAGCAGGCGUGGCCCCAUGGGAAGAAGAGCUGAUUUCCUGUAUAAACUAUAAAGUGACUUAGAUUCCAAUCUCUUGCCUCUGCCAGCUCAUAGAAGAAAAAGAGCAAAUGGAUAGAUUGUUUGCAGAAAGUGGCCUCAAUUACUCCCCCCACGUAUCCAUACCUGUUUGCAGGACGAUUCUGCAGUUCUUCCAAUUAAUGUCUAUUUUCCAAC